This 1404-nucleotide ribosomal RNA is filed under the name Triticum aestivum (bread wheat). RNAcentral describes it as "partial small subunit ribosomal RNA". Lineage: Eukaryota; Viridiplantae; Streptophyta; Magnoliopsida; Poales; Poaceae. The record is from RNAcentral.
AUGGGGAGCAAGGGGCGCAUGCCUCCUCCUUACCACCACCGGCCGCUCCCAGGUCCCGGCUCUGGCCCGCCGCAUGGCAUGAUGCACCAUGAUCCGUACGGCCCGAGCAUGCACCAACCGCCAGGGCCGGGGCCAUACCCCUACGAUAUGUUGCCGCCGCCUGAGAUCCUGGAGCAGAAGCUCGCGGCGCAGUGUGGAGAGAUACAGAAGCUGGCGGUGGAGAACGAACGGCUCGCCGCGAGCCAUGCGUCUCUGAGGAAAGAGCUCGCUGCCGCGCAGCAGGAGCUGCAGAGGAUACAGGCGCAGGGGGAGGCGGCGAAGGCCGCCCAGGAGCAGGAGAUGAGGGGGCUCCUUGAUAAGGCUGCCAAGAUGGAGGCCGAUUUGAAGUCCUACGAGUCUGUCAAGGCGGACCUGCAGCAGGUGCACGCCGAGGCGCAGAACCUGGCGGCGGCAAGGCAGCAUUUGUUGGCGGAUGCGCAGAAGCUGAACAAAGACCUGCAGAGGAACUUUGGGGAGGCGCAGCAGCUGCCAGCACUCACGGCUGAUCUUGAUGCUGCUAGACAGGAAUAUCAGCACCUCAGGGCCGCAUAUGAGUAUGAAAGGAAACUGAAGGUGGACCACUCCGAGUCGCUGCAGGGAAUGAAGAAAAAUUAUGACUCCAUGGUUACAGAGUUAGAGAAGCUUCGUGCUGAGUUGACAAACACAACUAAUAUUGACAGAAGUGGUACUUUGUACAAUCCUAAUUUUGCUCAGAAGGAUGGCGGUACAUCUAGCCACCAUUCUGCUUAUGAUGGUGGCUAUGGGGUUGCACAGGCUAGGACGCCCCCUGGUAUGCCAGACCCUUUAAGCGGAAGCCCAGCUGGAACUGCUCCUCGUUCUGGAUAUGAUCCAUCAAGAGGGAAUUCAUAUGAGACUUCUCGUCUUGCUAGAGUCCAUGAUGCAUCAAGGGGUGCUACUGGUUACGACUCUCUGAAAGUUGCUGGAUAUGAUACUUCUAGAAUGCCUGCACUUGGAGCUCAGGCAGCGGCUCCAACUGCUCAUGGGAGUAGUGCUGGUUACUAUGGAUCAAGUCAGGUCACACCACCUUCGCAUGCACGGGCACCAGGUGCACCCACCUAUGGAUCUGCACAGGUGCCACCAUCAUAUGCUUCUGGGCUAGUCCCAUCUUCAUCAUACGGCGCAACAACAGCUCAGGGACUACCAUCAUAUGGACAAACACAGGCUCCAUCUUAUGCACACACACAGAUGCCACCAUCCUAUGGACUAGCACAGGCAUCAUCACAUUUUGCCCCAACCCAGGGGGGGUCACCGUACGGGUUGUCUGCACAGCCUCAGGGCUAUGGAUCCGCGCAAGCAGCACCUAACAUUGGUGGUGCUUAUCAAGCUCCACAUGGACGCAGAUAA